RNAcentral lists this transfer RNA (72 nucleotides) under Candidatus Nealsoniibacteriota bacterium. Its description in RNAcentral is "Candidatus Nealsonbacteria bacterium tRNA-Gly". It matches the Rfam family "tRNA". Rfam says of the family: Transfer RNA (tRNA) molecules are approximately 80 nucleotides in length. Their secondary structure includes four short double-helical elements and three loops (D, anti-codon, and T loops). Further hydrogen bonds mediate the characteristic L-shaped molecular structure. tRNAs have two regions of fundamental functional importance: the anti-codon, which is responsible for specific mRNA codon recognition, and the 3' end, to which the tRNAs corresponding amino acid is attached (by aminoacyl-tRNA synthetases). tRNAs cope with the degeneracy of the genetic code in two manners: having more than one tRNA (with a specific anti-codon) for a particular amino acid; and 'wobble' base-pairing, i.e. permitting non-standard base-pairing at the 3rd anti-codon position. The record is from RNAcentral. Lineage: Bacteria; Candidatus Nealsoniibacteriota.
GCGGGUGUCGUAUAACGGCUAGUACGUGACCUUGCCAAGGUUAAGACGAGGGUUCGAUUCCCUUCACCCGCU